RNAcentral lists this long non-coding RNA (278 nucleotides) under Elaeis guineensis (African oil palm). Its description in RNAcentral is "long non-coding RNA (EGUI_LNC003535)". Lineage: Eukaryota; Viridiplantae; Streptophyta; Magnoliopsida; Arecales; Arecaceae. The record is from RNAcentral.
GGGGCCUACAAAAAAGAUAAAGGGAAGGGAAAGAAGUGCAAAGGAGAGCACCGAUUAUAUUAAUAGCGGCAUUAUAGUUUUGAUGAUAAGAAAGAUAUUAACUUAUUCUUUUAUCUACUUAUUUUAUAUAGAUUAUCAUUUUGAAAUGUAUACAUAAUAGUUGAUUAUGUUAUCUAAUUGAUUGCUUUUCUUUUUAGUUUGGCUUUUUGAGAGAAUAGGCAUAGAAAGGGCCUAUGACAGCACUUACUAUGGUAGCAGUUCGAAAACCACUGCUAUAG